UACGGAGGAUCCAAGCGUUAUCCGGAUUAUUGGGUUUAAAGGGUGCGUAGGCGGCCUAUUAAGUCAGGGGUGAAAGACGGUAGCUUAACUAUCGCAGUGCCCUUGAUACUGAUGGGCUUGAAUAAUACUAGAGGUAGGCGGAAUGUGACAAGUAGCGGUGAAAUGCAUAGAUAUGUCACAGAACACCAAUUGCGAAGGCAGCUUACUAUGGUAUUAUUGACGCUGAGGCACGAAAGCGUGGGGAUCAAACAGG
This 253-nucleotide ribosomal RNA is filed under the name uncultured bacterium. RNAcentral's name for it is "partial 16S ribosomal RNA". It matches the Rfam family "Bacterial small subunit ribosomal RNA", at positions 524 to 776 of the family's 1533-position model. The record is from RNAcentral.